AGAGUUUGAUCCUGGCUCAGAUUGAACGCUGGCGGCAGGCUUAACACAUGCAAGUCGAGCGGGGUGAGGUGCUUCGGUACUGAUCCUAGCGGCGGACGGGUGAGUAAUGCUUAGGAAUCUGCCUAUUAGUGGGGGACAACAUUCCGAAAGGAAUGCUAAUACCGCAUACGUCCUACGGGAGAAAGCAGGGGAUCUUCGGACCUUGCGCUAAUAGAUGAGCCUAAGUCGGAUUAGCUAGUUGGUGGGUAAAGGCCUACCAAGGCGACGAUCUGUAGCGGGUCUGAGAGGAUGAUCCGCCACACUGGGACUGAGACACGGCCCAGACUCCUACGGGAGGCAGCAGUGGGGAAUAUUGGACAAUGGGCGGAAGCCUGAUCCAGCCAUGCCGCGUGUGUGAAGAAGGCCUUUUGGUUGUAAAGCACUUUAAGCGAGGAGGAGGCUACCUAGAUUAAUACUCUGGGAUAGUGGACGUUACUCGCAGAAUAAGCACCGGCUAACUCUGUGCCAGCAGCCGCGGUAAUACAGAGGGUGCGAGCGUUAAUCGGAUUUACUGGGCGUAAAGCGUGCGUAGGCGGCUUUUUAAGUCGGAUGUGAAAUCCCCGAGCUUAACUUGGGAAUUGCAUUCGAUACUGGGAAGCUAGAGUAUGGGAGAGGAUGGUAGAAUUCCAGGUGUAGCGGUGAAAUGCGUAGAGAUCUGGAGGAAUACCGAUGG
RNAcentral lists this ribosomal RNA (712 nucleotides) under uncultured bacterium. RNAcentral's name for it is "bacterial SSU rRNA". It matches the Rfam family "Bacterial small subunit ribosomal RNA", at positions 8 to 715 of the family's 1533-position model. The record is from RNAcentral.